AUUGAACGCUGGCGGCAUGCCUUACACAUGCAAGUCGAACGGCAGCGGGGGUGCUUGCACCUGCCGGCGCGUGGCGAACGGGUGAGUAAUGCAUCGGAACGUACCCAGUCGUGGGGGAUAACGCGGCGAAAGCUGUGCUAAUACCGCAUACGUACUGAGGGAGAAAGCAGGGGAUCUUCGGACCUUGUGCGAUUGGAGCGGCCGAUGUCAGAUUAGCUAGUUGGUGAGGUAAAAGCUCACCAAGGCGACGAUCUGUAGCUGGUAUGAGAGGAUGAUCAGCCACACUGGAACUGAGACACGGUCCAGACUCCUACGGGAGGCAGCAGUGGGGAAUUUUGGACAAUGGGGGCAACCCUGAUCCAGCCAUGCCGCGUGAGUGAAGAAGGCCUUCGGGUUGUAAAGCUCUUUCGGCCGGGAAGAAAUCGUGCAGGCUAAUACCCUGUAUGGAUGACGGUACCGGAAUAAGAAGCACCGGCUAACUACGUGCCAGCAGCCGCGGUAA
This 502-nucleotide ribosomal RNA is filed under the name uncultured bacterium. Its description in RNAcentral is "partial 16S ribosomal RNA". It matches the Rfam family "Bacterial small subunit ribosomal RNA", at positions 30 to 523 of the family's 1533-position model. The record is from RNAcentral.